RNAcentral lists this ribosomal RNA (533 nucleotides) under uncultured bacterium. RNAcentral's name for it is "bacterial SSU rRNA". It matches the Rfam family "Bacterial small subunit ribosomal RNA", at positions 777 to 1304 of the family's 1533-position model. The record is from RNAcentral.
AAUAGAUACCCAGGUAGUCCUAGCUGUAAACGAUGAGCACUGGGUUGAGGGGACUUCCACAUCCUCUCGGCCGUAGCGAAAGCGUUAAGUGCUCCGCCUGGGGAGUAUGGCCGCAAGGCUGAAACUCAAAGGAAUUGACGGGGGCUCACACAAGCGGUGGAGGAUGUGGCUUAAUUCGAGGCUACGCGAAGAACCUUAUCCUAGAUUUGACAUGGUUGAGAAUCUCCUUGAAAGAGGAGAGUGCCCUUCGGGGAGCUCUUUCACAGGUGCUGCAUGGCUGUCGUCAGCUCGCGUCGUGAGAUGUUGGGUUAAGUCCCUUAACGAGCGAAACCCUUAUCUUUAGUUGCCAGCGGGUCAAGCCGGGGACUCUAAAGAGACUGCCGGUGUCAAACCGGAGGAAGGUGGGGAUGACGUCAAGUCCUCAUGGCCUUUAUGUCUAGGGCUGCACACGUCCUACAAUGGCACGUACAAAGGGAAGCCAAGCCGCGAGGCCGCGCUAAUCCCAAAAAGCGUGCCCCAGUUCGGAUUGCAGG